RNAcentral lists this unclassified non-coding RNA (334 nucleotides) under soil metagenome. Its description in RNAcentral is "partial contains 5.8S ribosomal RNA, internal transcribed spacer 2, and large subunit ribosomal RNA". The stretch from base 1 to 120 matches the Rfam family "5.8S ribosomal RNA", at positions 35 to 154 of the family's 154-position model. The record is from RNAcentral.
GAUGAAGAACGCAGCGAAAUGCGAUAAGUAAUGUGAAUUGCAGAAUUCAGUGAAUCAUCGAAUCUUUGAACGCACAUUGCGCCCGCCAGUAUUCUGGCGGGCAUGCCUGUUCGAGCGUCAUUUCAACCAUCAAGCCCCGGGCUUGUGUUGGGGACCUGCGGCUGCCGCAGGCCCUGAAAUGCAGUGGCGGGCUCGCUGUCACUCCGAGCGUAGUAGUUACAUCUCGCUCUGGGCGUGCUGCGGGUUCCGGCCGUUAAAAGCCUUAUUUACCCAAGGUUGACCUCGGAUCAGGUAGGAAGACCCGCUGAACUUAAGCAUAUCAAUAAGAGGAGGA